CCCUUAGAUGUUCUGGGCCGCACGCGCGCUACACUGACGAAUGCAACGAGCUUAUAACCUUGGCCGAAAGGUCUGGGUAAUCUCCAAAUUUCGUCGUGAUGGGGAUAGAUUAUUGCAAUUAUUAAUCUUCAACGAGGAAUGCCUAGUAAGCGCAAGUCAUCAGCUUGCGUUGAUUACGUCCCUGCCCUUUGUACACACCGCCCGUCGCUCCUACCGAUUGAAUGGUCCGGUGAAGCGUUCGGACCGUGGCCUUUGGACGGUUCGCCGUCUGUUGGCUGCGGGAAGUUCGUUAAACCUUAUCAUUUAGAGGAAGGAGAAGUUGUANCA
Molecule: ribosomal RNA, 327 nt
Filed under: uncultured eukaryote
Lineage: Eukaryota
Description: partial 18S ribosomal RNA
Rfam family: Eukaryotic small subunit ribosomal RNA
Source: RNAcentral